CAGUAGCCGCGGUAAUACGUAGGGUGCGAGCGUUAAUCGGAAUUACUGGGCGUAAAGCGUGCGCAGGCGGUGCUGCAAGACCGAUGUGAAAGCCCCGGGCUUAACCUGGGAACUGCAUUGGUGACUGCAGCGCUGGAGUAUGGCAGAGGGGGGUGGAAUUCCACGUGUAGCAGUGAAAUGCGUAGAGAUGUGGAGGAACACCGAUGGCGAAGGCAGCCCCCUGGGCCAAUACUGACGCUCAUGCACGAAAGCGUGGGGAGCAAACAGGAUUAGAUACCCGCGUAGUCCCUGUCUCUUAUAC
This 301-nucleotide ribosomal RNA is filed under the name uncultured bacterium. Its description in RNAcentral is "partial 16S ribosomal RNA". It matches the Rfam family "Bacterial small subunit ribosomal RNA", at positions 509 to 807 of the family's 1533-position model. The record is from RNAcentral.